RNAcentral lists this ribosomal RNA (253 nucleotides) under uncultured bacterium. RNAcentral's name for it is "partial 16S ribosomal RNA". It matches the Rfam family "Bacterial small subunit ribosomal RNA", at positions 524 to 776 of the family's 1533-position model. The record is from RNAcentral.
UACGAAGGGGGCGAGCGUUGUUCGGAUUUACUGGGCGUAAAGGGUGCGUAGGCGGGUCUUUAAGUCAGGGGUGAAAUCCUGGAGCUCAACUCCAGAACUGCCUUUGAUACUGAGGAUCUUGAGUUCGGGAGAGGUGAGUGGAACUGCGAGUGUAGAGGUGAAAUUCGUAGAUAUUCGCAAGAACACCAGUGGCGAAGGCGGCUCACUGGCCCGAUACUGACGCUGAGGCACGAAAGCGUGGGGAGCAAACAGG